GAUGAACGCUGGCGGCGUGCCUAAUACAUGCAAGUCGAGCGAACGGACGAGAAGCUUGCUUCUCUGAUGUUAGCGGCGGACGGGUGAGUAACACGUGGAUAACCUACCUAUAAGACUGGGAUAACUUCGGGAAACCGGAGCUAAUACCGGAUAAUAUUUUGAACCACAUGGUUCAAAAGUGAAAGACGGUCUUGCUGUCACUUAUAGAUGGAUCCGCGCUGCAUUAGCUAGUUGGUAAGGUAACGGCUUACCAAGGCAACGAUGCAUAGCCGACCUGAGAGGGUGAUCGGCCACACUGGAACUGAGACACGGUCCAGACUCCUACGGGAGGCAGCAGUAGGGAAUCUUCCGCAAUGGGCGAAAGCCUGACGGAGCAACGCCGCGUGAGUGAUGAAGGUCUUAGGAUCGUAAAACUCUGUUAUUAGGGAAGAACAUAUGUGUAAGUAACUGUGCACAUCUUGACGGUACCUAAUCAGAAAGCCACGGCUAACUACGUG
Molecule: ribosomal RNA, 497 nt
Filed under: uncultured bacterium
Lineage: Bacteria
Description: partial 16S ribosomal RNA
Rfam family: Bacterial small subunit ribosomal RNA
Source: RNAcentral